Molecule: long non-coding RNA, 536 nt
Organism: Lolium rigidum
Lineage: Eukaryota; Viridiplantae; Streptophyta; Magnoliopsida; Poales; Poaceae
Exons: 3
Source: RefSeq, a predicted model, not a curated record
UUAUGCUGAGCAAGGAGACAGCUCGUUUCAGUACUGUCACGCGAGGCGUGCUUCCUUCCUGGUCGUCGUCCCGCCAUGGACCAAGCCAGAGCCAGCCAACACCACGUUGCUUUUCUCCUCCUUAUCUUCAUCCUGGACCACUCCAACUACCAAGUCCCAUCCAGCACGGCAUCUCCCCUCCAUCUUCUUCCUCUCCACGCAAGACAAGGAGGGGAGGAAAAAUAUCUUCAGAAACACCGGCGCCAUCACCGUCGCACGGCAGUCUCCGGCCACCACCCGCCAAGCCGAGACCACCUCCAGCUUCGUCGUGAGACGCUAAAGCCCAUCGACACACGCGCGCAUCCAAUCGGCCAGGAAAUCGACGUCCAUAUCGUCGUUCCUCAUCGGCCAUCACGCACCAGCGAGAUUUCCGGCCGCCUCCGACCUCGUCCGCCCCAGCCGAGGUGUUCAUCAGCUUCCUGGUUCCUCUUCACCAUCGAUCCGCUGGCAUUUGCUUCUUCCCGGAUAGGAUCGCGAAGUGGUGUUGUGAGAUACGA